GGACAGCAAUCCCAUAGCAGUCUGAAACACUGUAACAAAAAGAUCCAUUUCCUGAGGUGAUACCUCCCAUCUGAUGUGUGUCAGCACAGAUUGCCAUCCGUUCCUCCAGAUGAGCCUCCGUCUGCCUGCCCGCUCCUGAAGGAAAUAGCAAUCAUGACUGAAACAUUCUGAUGGCUGUGGAAAACACAUUUGCUGAAGUAUAAAAUAGAAAAGAGAAGUGAAAAAUAGAACUGGAAAGUUCUACUUUAGACUAGGAUGACUGCCAAUGCUUGCAAAAUAGUCAAAGAAAACAUGAACAAAGGAAGAAGGAAGAGGUGGUCAAAGGGCAAGAUACUUUGCAAUCAAGACCAUUUAUCGAAAGCGGAAAAUGUGUAAAAGUGCAAAUCCAUGAAAAUAGAGAACAUCUGCCCAUUUCAGUUCAUGAAUUAAGCUCUGUCAAUCACAGAGCUGUCUGAUGGUUGCACUGUGUAUGAUGCAUUAGCAUAGAGUGAAGUGCUCUUGGCAAAGCAGCUGGGCUGAACUAGGGCUGUUGUCCUUUGGUCACCAGGAUAAGAAGAUUCUUAUGCUGUCUUUCCUUCCUCUCAGAUCUGACAUGUCUCUUGACAAAGGACAUUCUCUUUGAAAAUUUCCCACGUGAUAUUUUGGAUGUGUGCAGUGAGAGUAUUUUUUAUUAUAAUUGAUUUCUUAAUUUAAACUUCA
Molecule: long non-coding RNA, 699 nt
Filed under: Anser brachyrhynchus (Pink-footed goose)
Lineage: Eukaryota; Metazoa; Chordata; Aves; Anseriformes; Anatidae
Description: lncRNA (ENSABRG00000003710.1)
Source: RNAcentral